AUUACUGUAUGUUCACAUUUUGAUCCUGUACAAGGCUGGGUUUGUGGCGACACACUGCCUCCUAGUGGUGAGACUGCACCGGGUGACACUUGAAUGUACAGUACGUAGCCUCAACACUGUAUUUAUAGUGACUUGCUGAAUAUUGUAUGGGGACUUGCAGGAUAUUUUGUAGUGACUUGCAUGAUAUUUUGUAGUGAUUUCUAUGAUAUUUUGUAGUGACUUGCAUGAUAUUUUGUAGUGAUUUCUAUGAUAUUUUGUAGUGACUUUUGCAUGACAUGCCAUGGCCAAUUGUGUAAACAAGUGU
Long non-coding RNA from Etheostoma spectabile (orangethroat darter), 304 nucleotides. RefSeq lists it as uncharacterized. The record is from RefSeq and is a predicted model, not a curated record. NCBI's taxonomy places the organism in Eukaryota, Metazoa, Chordata, Actinopteri, Perciformes, Percidae. The transcript is spliced from 3 exons.